CCCUAUUAUUUUUGAAUGUUAAUUGUUAUUUUGUGUCUGAGUAGUAUUAGUUAUGUUCUUGAAACUUAAAGAAUUUGGCGGUAUCUCAUUCCGUCCAGAGGAAUCUGUCUCGUUAUCGAUAGUCCGCGUUGGACCUUACUUAGUUGUUUUGGUUUGUAUACCGCCGUUUAUUGAUUAUCUUUUUAGGGUUGCUUAAUUUUCUGGUUUCUUUAUUUUGGUUGAUUUCAGGUCAAGGUGCAGCUUGUUUCUAAGUGAAUGAUGGAUUACAUUGUUAUUUGUUUAUGGAUUGUUGGGUUUAAAUAUUUGCAUGAAAUUGGAUUUGGUUGUAAUUAUUUGUAGAUUGUUAUUGUGAUAGGAGGUUCUGGGAUAUGCACACAUCGCCCGUCGCUCUCGUUUUAUUGUUAAUGAAAUAAGUC
Molecule: ribosomal RNA, 416 nt
Filed under: Embiratermes brevinasus
Lineage: Eukaryota; Metazoa; Arthropoda; Insecta; Blattodea; Termitidae
Description: partial small subunit ribosomal RNA
Source: RNAcentral